RNAcentral lists this ribosomal RNA (790 nucleotides) under uncultured fungus. RNAcentral describes it as "eukaryotic LSU rRNA". The stretch from base 1 to 241 matches the Rfam family "Eukaryotic small subunit ribosomal RNA", at positions 1593 to 1831 of the family's 1831-position model. Lineage: Eukaryota; Fungi. The record is from RNAcentral.
UUGCUCUUCAACGAGGAAUGCCUAGUAGGCACGAGUCAUCAGCUCGUGCCGAUUACGUCCCUGCCCUUUGUACACACCGCCCGUCGCUACUACCGAUUGAAUGGCUCAGUGAGGCCUUCGGACUGGCUCAGAGGGGUUGGCAACGACCGCUCAGAGCCGGAAAGUUGGUCAAACUUGGUCAUUUAGAGGAAGUAAAAGUCGUAACAAGGUUUCCGUAGGUGAACCUGCGGAAGGAUCAUUACCGAGUGCGGGCCCUCGCGGCCCAACCUCCCACCCUUGUCUCUAUACACCUGUUGCUUUGGCGGGCCCACCGGGGCCACCUGGUCGCCGGGGGACGCACGUCUCCGGGCCCGCGCCCGCCGAAGCGCUCUGUGAACCCUGAUGAAGAUGGGCUGUCUGAGUACUGUGAAAAUUGUCAAAACUUUCAACAAUGGAUCUCUUGGUUCCGGCAUCGAUGAAGAACGCAGCGAAAUGCGAUAAGUAAUGUGAAUUGCAGAAUUCCGUGAAUCAUCGAAUCUUUGAACGCACAUUGCGCCCCCUGGCAUUCCGGGGGGCAUGCCUGUCCGAGCGUCAUUUCUGCCCUCAAGCACGGCUUGUGUGUUGGGUGUGGUCCCCCCGGGGACCUGCCCGAAAGGCAGCGGCGACGUCCGUCUGGUCCUCGAGCGUAUGGGGCUCUGUCACUCGCUCGGGAAGGACCUGCGGGGGUUGGUCACCACCAUGUUUUUACCACGGUUGACCUCGGAUCAGGUAGGAGUUACCCGCUGAACUUAAGCAUAUCAAUAAGCGGAGG